Molecule: ribosomal RNA, 148 nt
Filed under: uncultured bacterium
Lineage: Bacteria
Description: partial 16S ribosomal RNA
Rfam family: Bacterial small subunit ribosomal RNA
Source: RNAcentral
UGAUCCAGCCAUGCCGCGUGUGUGAAGAAGGCUUUCGGGUUGUAAAGCACUUUCAGCGAGGAAGAAAGCCUCUGGGCCAAUACCCCAGAGGAAGGACAUCACUCGCAGAAGAAGCACCGGCUAACUCCGUGCCAGCAGCCGCGGUAAU